UACGUAGGGUGCAAGCGUUAAUCGGAAUUACUGGGCGUAAAGCGUGCGCAGGCGGUUUUGUAAGACAGAGGUGAAAUCCCCGGGCUCAACCUGGGAACUGCCUUUGUGACUGCAAGGCUUGAGUGCGGCAGAGGGGGAUGGAAUUCCGCGUGUAGCAGUGAAAUGCGUAGAUAUGCGGAGGAACACCGAUGGCGAAGGCAAUCCCCUGGGCCUGCACUGACGCUCAUGCACGAAAGCCAGGGGAGCGAACGGG
RNAcentral lists this ribosomal RNA (253 nucleotides) under uncultured bacterium. RNAcentral describes it as "partial 16S ribosomal RNA". It matches the Rfam family "Bacterial small subunit ribosomal RNA", at positions 524 to 776 of the family's 1533-position model. The record is from RNAcentral.